GUGGGUAUAGCUCAUCGGUACAGCACGUGCUUAGCAUGCACGGGGUCCUGGGCUCAAUCCCCAGUACCUCCA
Molecule: transfer RNA, 72 nt
Filed under: Camelus bactrianus (Bactrian camel)
Lineage: Eukaryota; Metazoa; Chordata; Mammalia; Artiodactyla; Camelidae
Also listed under: 2 other names
Rfam family: tRNA
About the family: Transfer RNA (tRNA) molecules are approximately 80 nucleotides in length. Their secondary structure includes four short double-helical elements and three loops (D, anti-codon, and T loops).
Source: Rfam by way of RNAcentral